UGGGCUCGCUCGCGUCCUUUCUGUGCAUCAGCGGACUUUGUGAACUUAUACCUAUACUGUUGCCUCGGCGCUGGCCGGCCUCCUCACCGAGGCCCCCUGGAGACAGGGAGCAGCCCGCCGGCGGCCAAACAAACUCUUGUUUCUUAGUGAAUCUCUGAGUAAAAAACAUAAUGAAUCAAAACUUUCAACAACGGAUCUCUUGGUUCUGGCAUCGAUGAAGAACGCAGCGAAAUGCGAUAAGUAAUGUGAAUUGCAGAAUUCAGUGAAUCAUCGAAUCUUUGAACGCACAUUGCGCCCUCUGGUAUUCCGGAGGGCAUGCCUGUUCGAGCGUCAUUUCAACCCUCAAGCCUAGCUUGGUGUUGGGGCACCGCCUUUGCAAAAGGGCGGGCCCUGAAAUCUAGUGGCGAGCUCGCCAGGACCCCGAGCGUAGUAGUUAUAUCUCGUUCUGGAAGGCCCUGGCGGUGCCCUGCCGUUAAACCCCCAACUUCUGAAAUUUUGACCUCGGAUCAGGUAGGAAUACCCGCUGAACUUAAGCAUAUCAAUAAUCGGAGGAA
RNAcentral lists this ribosomal RNA (554 nucleotides) under Periconia byssoides. Its description in RNAcentral is "eukaryotic LSU rRNA". The stretch from base 180 to 333 matches the Rfam family "5.8S ribosomal RNA". Lineage: Eukaryota; Fungi; Ascomycota; Dothideomycetes; Pleosporales; Periconiaceae. The record is from RNAcentral.